Molecule: ribosomal RNA, 167 nt
Filed under: uncultured bacterium
Lineage: Bacteria
Description: partial 16S rRNA
Rfam family: Bacterial small subunit ribosomal RNA
Source: RNAcentral
CAGUAGGGAAUCUUCCACAAUGGGCGCAAGCCUGAUGGAGCAACACCGCGUGAGUGAAGAAGGGUUUCGGCUCGUAAAGCUCUGUUGUUGGAGAAGAACGUGCGUGAGAGUAACUGUUCACGCAGUGACGGUAUCCAACCAGAAAGUCACGGCUAACUACGUGCCAG